UACGAAGGACCCGAGCGUUAUCCGGAUUUAUUGGGUUUAAAGGGUGCGUAGGCGGAUUUACAAGUCAGGUGUGAAAGCCCCGAGCUUAACUUGGGAAUUGCGCUUGUGACUGGCGUGCUGGAGUGUGGCAGAGGGAGGUGGAAUUCCACGUGUAGCAGUGAAAUGCGUAGAGAUGUGGAGGAACACCGAUGGCGAAGGCAGCCUCCUGGGCCAGCACUGACGCUCAUGCACGAAAGCGUGGGGAGCAAACAGG
Molecule: ribosomal RNA, 253 nt
Filed under: uncultured bacterium
Lineage: Bacteria
Description: partial 16S ribosomal RNA
Rfam family: Bacterial small subunit ribosomal RNA
Source: RNAcentral